RNAcentral lists this ribosomal RNA (2902 nucleotides) under Escherichia coli TA447. RNAcentral describes it as "bacterial LSU rRNA". It matches the Rfam family "Bacterial large subunit ribosomal RNA". The record is from RNAcentral. Lineage: Bacteria; Pseudomonadati; Pseudomonadota; Gammaproteobacteria; Enterobacterales; Enterobacteriaceae.
UUAAGCGACUAAGCGUACACGGUGGAUGCCCUGGCAGUCAGAGGCGAUGAAGGACGUGCUAAUCUGCGAUAAGCGUCGGUAAGGUGAUAUGAACCGUUAUAACCGGCGAUUUCCGAAUGGGGAAACCCAGUGUGUUUCGACACACUAUCAUUAACUGAAUCCAUAGGUUAAUGAGGCGAACCGGGGGAACUGAAACAUCUAAGUACCCCGAGGAAAAGAAAUCAACCGAGAUUCCCCCAGUAGCGGCGAGCGAACGGGGAGGAGCCCAGAGCCUGAAUCAGUGUGUGUGUUAGUGGAAGCGUCUGGAAAGGCGCGCGAUACAGGGUGACAGCCCCGUACACAAAAAUGCACAUGCUGUGAGCUCGAUGAGUAGGGCGGGACACGUGGUAUCCUGUCUGAAUAUGGGGGGACCAUCCUCCAAGGCUAAAUACUCCUGACUGACCGAUAGUGAACCAGUACCGUGAGGGAAAGGCGAAAAGAACCCCGGCGAGGGGAGUGAAAAAGAACCUGAAACCGUGUACGUACAAGCAGUGGGAGCCUCUUUUAUGGGGUGACUGCGUACCUUUUGUAUAAUGGGUCAGCGACUUAUAUUCUGUAGCAAGGUUAACCGAAUAGGGGAGCCGAAGGGAAACCGAGUCUUAACUGGGCGUUAAGUUGCAGGGUAUAGACCCGAAACCCGGUGAUCUAGCCAUGGGCAGGUUGAAGGUUGGGUAACACUAACUGGAGGACCGAACCGACUAAUGUUGAAAAAUUAGCGGAUGACUUGUGGCUGGGGGUGAAAGGCCAAUCAAACCGGGAGAUAGCUGGUUCUCCCCGAAAGCUAUUUAGGUAGCGCCUCGUGAAUUCAUCUCCGGGGGUAGAGCACUGUUUCGGCAAGGGGGUCAUCCCGACUUACCAACCCGAUGCAAACUGCGAAUACCGGAGAAUGUUAUCACGGGAGACACACGGCGGGUGCUAACGUCCGUCGUGAAGAGGGAAACAACCCAGACCGCCAGCUAAGGUCCCAAAGUCAUGGUUAAGUGGGAAACGAUGUGGGAAGGCCCAGACAGCCAGGAUGUUGGCUUAGAAGCAGCCAUCAUUUAAAGAAAGCGUAAUAGCUCACUGGUCGAGUCGGCCUGCGCGGAAGAUGUAACGGGGCUAAACCAUGCACCGAAGCUGCGGCAGCGACGCUUAUGCGUUGUUGGGUAGGGGAGCGUUCUGUAAGCCUGCGAAGGUGUACUGUGAGGUAUGCUGGAGGUAUCAGAAGUGCGAAUGCUGACAUAAGUAACGAUAAAGCGGGUGAAAAGCCCGCUCGCCGGAAGACCAAGGGUUCCUGUCCAACGUUAAUCGGGGCAGGGUGAGUCGACCCCUAAGGCGAGGCCGAAAGGCGUAGUCGAUGGGAAACAGGUUAAUAUUCCUGUACUUGGUGUUACUGCGAAGGGGGGACGGAGAAGGCUAUGUUGGCCGGGCGACGGUUGUCCCGGUUUAAGCGUGUAGGCUGGUUUUCCAGGCAAAUCCGGAAAAUCAAGGCUGAGGCGUGAUGACGAGGCACUACGGUGCUGAAGCAACAAAUGCCCUGCUUCCAGGAAAAGCCUCUAAGCAUCAGGUAACAUCAAAUCGUACCCCAAACCGACACAGGUGGUCAGGUAGAGAAUACCAAGGCGCUUGAGAGAACUCGGGUGAAGGAACUAGGCAAAAUGGUGCCGUAACUUCGGGAGAAGGCACGCUGAUAUGUAGGUGAAGUCCCUCGCGGAUGGAGCUGAAAUCAGUCGAAGAUACCAGCUGGCUGCAACUGUUUAUUAAAAACACAGCACUGUGCAAACACGAAAGUGGACGUAUACGGUGUGACGCCUGCCCGGUGCCGGAAGGUUAAUUGAUGGGGUCAGCGCAAGCGAAGCUCUUGAUCGAAGCCCCGGUAAACGGCGGCCGUAACUAUAACGGUCCUAAGGUAGCGAAAUUCCUUGUCGGGUAAGUUCCGACCUGCACGAAUGGCGUAAUGAUGGCCAGGCUGUCUCCACCCGAGACUCAGUGAAAUUGAACUCGCUGUGAAGAUGCAGUGUACCCGCGGCAAGACGGAAAGACCCCGUGAACCUUUACUAUAGCUUGACACUGAACAUUGAGCCUUGAUGUGUAGGAUAGGUGGGAGGCUUAGAAGUGUGGACGCCAGUCUGCAUGGAGCCGACCUUGAAAUACCACCCUUUAAUGUUUGAUGUUCUAACGUUGACCCGUGAUCCGGGUUGCGGACAGUGUCUGGUGGGUAGUUUGACUGGGGCGGUCUCCUCCUAAAGAGUAACGGAGGAGCACGAAGGUUGGCUAAUCCUGGUCGGACAUCAGGAGGUUAGUGCAAUGGCAUAAGCCAGCUUGACUGCGAGCGUGACGGCGCGAGCAGGUGCGAAAGCAGGUCAUAGUGAUCCGGUGGUUCUGAAUGGAAGGGCCAUCGCUCAACGGAUAAAAGGUACUCCGGGGAUAACAGGCUGAUACCGCCCAAGAGUUCAUAUCGACGGCGGUGUUUGGCACCUCGAUGUCGGCUCAUCACAUCCUGGGGCUGAAGUAGGUCCCAAGGGUAUGGCUGUUCGCCAUUUAAAGUGGUACGCGAGCUGGGUUUAGAACGUCGUGAGACAGUUCGGUCCCUAUCUGCCGUGGGCGCUGGAGAACUGAGGGGGGCUGCUCCUAGUACGAGAGGACCGGAGUGGACGCAUCACUGGUGUUCGGGUUGUCAUGCCAAUGGCACUGCCCGGUAGCUAAAUGCGGAAGAGAUAAGUGCUGAAAGCAUCUAAGCACGAAACUUGCCCCGAGAUGAGUUCUCCCUGACCCUUUAAGGGUCCUGAAGGAACGUUGAAGACGACGACGUUGAUAGGCCGGGUGUGUAAGCGCAGCGAUGCGUUGAGCUAACCGGUACUAAUGAACCGUGAGGCUUAACCUU